Molecule: transfer RNA, 73 nt
Filed under: Stegodyphus mimosarum
Lineage: Eukaryota; Metazoa; Arthropoda; Arachnida; Araneae; Eresidae
Rfam family: tRNA
About the family: Transfer RNA (tRNA) molecules are approximately 80 nucleotides in length. Their secondary structure includes four short double-helical elements and three loops (D, anti-codon, and T loops). Further hydrogen bonds mediate the characteristic L-shaped molecular structure. tRNAs have two regions of fundamental functional importance: the anti-codon, which is responsible for specific mRNA codon recognition, and the 3' end, to which the tRNAs corresponding amino acid is attached (by aminoacyl-tRNA synthetases). tRNAs cope with the degeneracy of the genetic code in two manners: having more than one tRNA (with a specific anti-codon) for a particular amino acid; and 'wobble' base-pairing, i.e. permitting non-standard base-pairing at the 3rd anti-codon position.
Source: Rfam by way of RNAcentral
GCUUUCGUGGUGUAGUGGUCAGCACACUCGUCGCGUAACUGAGAGUUUCGUGGUUCGAUUCCCGGCGAAGGCG